This 561-nucleotide ribosomal RNA is filed under the name Streptosporangium sp. 316B05. Its description in RNAcentral is "bacterial SSU rRNA". It matches the Rfam family "Bacterial small subunit ribosomal RNA", at positions 93 to 671 of the family's 1533-position model. RNAcentral also lists the same sequence under 3 other names. Lineage: Bacteria; Bacillati; Actinomycetota; Actinomycetes; Streptosporangiales; Streptosporangiaceae. The record is from RNAcentral.
GAGCGGCGAACGGGUGAGUAACACGUGAGUAACCUGCCCCUGACUCUGGGAUAAGCCCGGGAAACUGGGUCUAAUACCGGAUACGACACCUCCUGGCAUCGGGUGGGUGUGGAAAGUUUUUUCGGUUGGGGAUGGACUCGCGGCCUAUCAGCUUGUUGGUGGGGUAAUGGCCUACCAAGGCGACGACGGGUAGCCGGCCUGAGAGGGCGACCGGCCACACUGGGACUGAGACACGGCCCAGACUCCUACGGGAGGCAGCAGUGGGGAAUAUUGCGCAAUGGGCGAAAGCCUGACGCAGCGACGCCGCGUGGGGGAUGACGGCCUUCGGGUUGUAAACCUCUUUCAGCAGGGACGAAGUUGACGUGUACCUGCAGAAGAAGCGCCGGCUAACUACGUGCCAGCAGCCGCGGUAAUACGUAGGGCGCAAGCGUUGUCCGGAAUUAUUGGGCGUAAAGAGCUCGUAGGUGGCUUGUCACGUCGGGUGUGAAAGCUUGGGGCUUAACUCCAGGUCUGCAUUCGAUACGGGCUGGCUAGAGGUAGGUAGGGGAGAACGGAAUUCCU